Small nuclear RNA from Octodon degus (degu), 126 nucleotides. Lineage: Eukaryota; Metazoa; Chordata; Mammalia; Rodentia; Octodontidae. The record is from Ensembl.
GGGUUGUAUGAAAGGAGAGGUUAGCUCUCCCCUUGACAAAAGUCGAAGAGGCCCUCGAGCCGGACACCACAGACAGGGUUAAGGCACGCACUGGCAUGCUUUUCGAAGAUGGAACUCCCUCUUUAC